RNAcentral lists this transfer RNA (67 nucleotides) under Parathailocyba orla. RNAcentral describes it as "tRNA-Trp". The record is from RNAcentral. Lineage: Eukaryota; Metazoa; Arthropoda; Insecta; Hemiptera; Cicadellidae.
AAGACUUUAAGUUAAACUAAAACUAUUAGCCUUCAAAGUUAAAAAUAUUGAACAUCAAUAAGUUUUA